UAGAUUUACAGGGGUAGAUUUAGGGGCAUGUCCAACCCUCAUGGUAUUGGCGCUGAUAGUGUCUAAAUUAUCCGGCAGAAACACUUUGGAAAGAGGGAGGUUGGGGCACAGGCUGAACAGCUACAAACAGAAAGAAAACAGUGAUUUAUGGGUAAAAAUGAUGGACAAAGGAGCAUUUUUUUAUAUUUCCUCACAAUAAGUAGAGGGGUAACACCUCCAUGAAUAACCUGCCCCAGGGAUGGGUAACAUGUAGUGGAUUUUGCCCAAUUGUAUUUGCCCUCCUCCGGCUCAGUCUCUGGCGGUUGCUCUUGGGGAUUUCAAUGCCCCAGUGGGGCAAAGCGUCGGGCAGUAGCGCUGGGACUGUACUACUCACACUUGGGUCCCAGCAACAGCCUGAAACAGAACAGCGUGAGUAGCCCCCCAGCUCUGCCCCCGGCCCUUGUACCUGGGGCUGUAACUGAGGCAAUAGCCAUUCCCAGGUAACUUGUCGUUUGUAUAUAACGUCUGUAUUACAUUUUACCUAAAAACUCAAUUUAUGUGUCUGUUUCAAAUUGCUGUACUUCCUGGUUACCUCACAGGGCACUUCCCCCCUCGCUCAUUCAUUCUCUAGCUGAAGAGGAGGAUGAACAUCUAGAGAGAACCCUGGGGCAAAACAAAGGCAAAAUGGCUAAGAAGGAGGAGAAAUGUGCCAUCCAGGGAUCGCUGCAACCUGGCUAAUCCCACAAUCGGAAUCCUUUUACAAAGGGAAAUGGAACUUGACCACUUUAUUAUUUAUUUUGCAUAAAGACGCAAAGGCAAUUGGCUUCUCGCUGCUCAGAGCUCAUUAGUGAUCAGUUUAGAUACAUGAGCCGUGGCAGCUUGGGAAUCAGUGUAGUCUGCAACAUGCUCAGUACUGGGGCAGUUGACUGGCCAAACAGGGUAGAGUCCCGGGAGGGUUCCUGUGUAUGUUAUAUAUAUAUAUAUAUUAAAAGGAGAGAUAAAAUAACUACACAGAAUAAACAUGCGGCACAAGGCAAAUAAUGAGAUGCCCAAUAUAAAUGUUUUUCUCUGUAUUUCCACUUUCAUCCAGGAGGCGCCACCUCUUCCUUUUCUUAUUCCCCAUUCCUAUCCAGGUACUAAGGUGCUUACAGCGCCAUUCUGAGGGUUGGAAUUGGAAGCGCAAGAGAACGGACGGCUGCAGUUGGGAGAUUCUCCUUAUAAAGCGUCACUGUGUAUGAGGGAAGUAUGCGGCCAAACGGGGGCCACAAGUGCCAGGGCCCAGGAGCGCAUUUAAAUGAGCUGAAGAGGAGGAUGAACAUCUAGAGAGAACCCUGGGGCAAAACAAAGGCAAAAUGGCUAAGAAGGAGGAGAAAUGUGCCAUCCAGGGAUCGCUGCAACCUGGCUAAUCCAACAUUCGGAAUCCUUUUACAAAGGGAAAUGGAACUUGACCACUUUAUUAUUUAUUUUGCAUAAAGACGCAAAGGCAAUUGGCUUCUCGCUGCUCAGAGCUCAUUAGUGAUCAGUUUAGAUACAUGAGCCGUGGCAGCUUGGGAAUCAGUGUAGUCUGCAACAUGCUCAGUACUGGGGCAGUUGACUGGCCAAACAGGGGUAGAGUCCCGGGAGGGUUCCUGUGUAUGUUAUAUACAGUAUAUAUAUAUAUAUAUUAAAAGGAGAGAUAAAAUAACUACACAGAAUAAACAUGCGGCACAAGGCAAAUAAUGAGAUGCCCAAUAUAAAUGUUUUUCUCUGUAUUUCCACUUUCAUCCAGGAGGCGCCACCUCUUCCUUUUCUUAUUCCCCAUUCCUAUCCAGGUACUAAGGUGCUUACAGCGCCAUUCUGAGGGUUGGAAUUGGAAGCGCAAGAGAACGGACGGCUGCAGUUGGGAGAUUCUCCUUAUAAAGCGUCACUGUGUAUGAGGGAAAUAUGCGGCCAAACGGGGGCCACAAGUGCCAGGGCCCAGGAGCGCAUUUAAAUGAGCUGAAGAGGAGGAUGAACAUCUAGAGAGAACCCUGGGGCAAAACAAAGGCAAAAUGGCUAAGAAGGAGGAGAAAUGUGCCAUCCAGGGAUCGCUGCAACCUGGCUAAUCCAACAUUCGGAAUCCUUUUACAAAGGGAAAUGGAACUUGGCCACUUUAUUAUUUAUUUUGCAUAAAGACGCAAAGGCAAUUGGCUUCUCGCUGCUCAGAGCUCAUUAGUGAUCAGUUUAGAUACAUGAGCCGUGGCAGCUUGGGAAUCAGUGUAGUCUGCAACAUGCUCAGUACUGGGGCAGUUGACUGGCCAAACAGGGUAGAGUCCCGGGAGGGUUCCUGUGUAUGUUAUAUAUAUAUAUAUAUUAAAAGGAGAGAUAAAAUAACUACACAGAAUAAACAUGCGGCACAAGGCAAAUAAUGAGAUGCCCAAUAUAAAUGUUUUUCUCUGUAUUUCCACUUUCAUCCAGGAGGCGCCACCUCUUCCUUUUCUUAUUCCCCAUUCCUAUCCAGGUACUAAGGUGCUUACAGCGCCAUUCUGAGGGUUGGAAUUGGAAGCGCAAGAGAACGGACGGCUGCAGUUGGGAGAUUCUCCUUAUAAAGCGUCACUGUGUAUGAGGGAAAUAUGCGGCCAAACGGGGGCCACAAGUGCCAGGGCCCAGGAGCGCAUUUAAAUGAGCUGAAGAGGAGGAUGAACAUCUAGAGAGAACCCUGGGGCAAAACAAAGG
This is a long non-coding RNA of Xenopus tropicalis (tropical clawed frog), 2673 nucleotides long. RefSeq lists it as uncharacterized. The record is from RefSeq and is a predicted model, not a curated record. The transcript is spliced from 5 exons. Lineage: Eukaryota; Metazoa; Chordata; Amphibia; Anura; Pipidae.